CCUACGGGUGGCAGCAGUGAGGAAUAUUGGUCAAUGGGCGCGAGCCUGAACCAGCCAAGUAGCGUGAAGGAUGACUGCCCUACGGGUUGUAAACUUCUUUUAUAAAGGAAUAACGUGAGGUACGUGUGCCUCUUUGUAUGUACUUUAUGAAUAAGGAUCGGCUAACUCCGUGCCAGCAGCCGCGGUAAUACGGAGGAUCCGAGCGUUAGCCGGAUUUAUUGGGUUUAAAGGGAGCGUAGAUGGGUUGUUAAGUCAGUUGUGAAAGUUUGCGGCUCAACCGUAAAAUUGCAAUUGAUACUGGCAGCCUUGAGUACAGUUAAGGUAGGCGGAAUUCGUGGUGUAGCGGUGAAAUGCAUAGAUAUGACGCAGAACUCCGAUUGCGAAGGCAGCAUGCCGGCGCCCUACUGACGCUGAUGCACGAAAGCGUGGGUAUCGAACAGGAUUAGAUACCCUUGUAGUC
RNAcentral lists this ribosomal RNA (460 nucleotides) under uncultured bacterium. Its description in RNAcentral is "partial 16S ribosomal RNA". It matches the Rfam family "Bacterial small subunit ribosomal RNA", at positions 338 to 795 of the family's 1533-position model. The record is from RNAcentral.